RNAcentral lists this ribosomal RNA (495 nucleotides) under Xanthomonas translucens. RNAcentral's name for it is "bacterial SSU rRNA". It matches the Rfam family "Bacterial small subunit ribosomal RNA", at positions 91 to 582 of the family's 1533-position model. Lineage: Bacteria; Pseudomonadati; Pseudomonadota; Gammaproteobacteria; Lysobacterales; Lysobacteraceae. The record is from RNAcentral.
GCGAGUGGCGGACGGGUGAGGAAUACAUCGGAAUCUACCUUUUCGUGGGGGAUAACGUAGGGAAACUUACGCUAAUACCGCAUACGACCUUAGGGUGAAAGCGGAGGACCUUCGGGCUUCGCGCGGAUAGAUGAGCCGAUGUCGGAUUAGCUAGUUGGCGGGGUAAAGGCCCACCAAGGCGACGAUCCGUAGCUGGUCUGAGAGGAUGAUCAGCCACACUGGAACUGAGACACGGUCCAGACUCCUACGGGAGGCAGCAGUGGGGAAUAUUGGACAAUGGGCGCAAGCCUGAUCCAGCCAUGCCGCGUGGGUGAAGAAGGCCUUCGGGUUGUAAAGCCCUUUUGUUGGGAAAGAAAAGCAGUCGGUUAAUACCCGAUUGUUCUGACGGUACCCAAAGAAUAAGCACCGGCUAACUUCGUGCCAGCAGCCGCGGUAAUACGAAGGGUGCAAGCGUUACUCGGAAUUACUGGGCGUAAAGCGUGCGUAGGUGGUUGU